This 547-nucleotide ribosomal RNA is filed under the name Debaryomyces nepalensis. Its description in RNAcentral is "partial large subunit ribosomal RNA". It matches the Rfam family "Eukaryotic large subunit ribosomal RNA", at positions 94 to 657 of the family's 3401-position model. Lineage: Eukaryota; Fungi; Ascomycota; Pichiomycetes; Serinales; Debaryomycetaceae. The record is from RNAcentral.
UGAAGCGGCAAAAGCUCAAAUUUGAAAUCUGGCGCCUUCGGUGUCCGAGUUGUAAUUUGAAGAAGGUAACUUUGGAGUUGGCUCUUGUCUAUGUUCCUUGGAACAGGACGUCACAGAGGGUGAGAAUCCCGUGCGAUGAGAUGCCCAAUUCUAUGUAAAGUGCUUUCGAAGAGUCGAGUUGUUUGGGAAUGCAGCUCUAAGUGGGUGGUAAAUUCCAUCUAAAGCUAAAUAUUGGCGAGAGACCGAUAGCGAACAAGUACAGUGAUGGAAAGAUGAAAAGAACUUUGAAAAGAGAGUGAAAAAGUACGUGAAAUUGUUGAAAGGGAAGGGCUUGAGAUCAGACUUGGUAUUUUGCGAUCCUUUCCUUCUUGGUUGGGUUCUCCGCAGCUUACUGGGCCAGCAUCGGUUUGGAUGGUAGGAUAAUGAUUAAGGAAUGUGGCUCUACUUCGGUGGAGUGUUAUAGCCUUGGUUGAUACUGCCUGUCUAGACCGAGGACUGCGUCUUUGACUAGGAUGCUGGCAUAAUGAUCUUAAGCCACCCGUCUUGU